Long non-coding RNA from Oncorhynchus tshawytscha (Chinook salmon), 396 nucleotides. The record is from Ensembl. NCBI's taxonomy places the organism in Eukaryota, Metazoa, Chordata, Actinopteri, Salmoniformes, Salmonidae.
AGUAGAUCUAGCUGGUCUGUCAUAAUAUAAUAGAGACAGUAGAUCUAGCUGGUCUGUCAUAAUAUAAUAGAGACAUUAGAUCUAGCUGGUCUGUCAUACUAUAAUUGUGACAGUAGAUCUAGCUGGUCUGUCAUAAUAUAAUAGAGACAUUAUAUCUAGCUGGUCUGUCAUAAUAUAAUAGAGACAUUAGAUCUAGCUGGUCUGUCAUAAUAUAAUAGAGACAUUAUAUCUAGCUGGUCUGUCAUAAUAUAAUAGAGACAGUAGAUCUAGGUGGUCUGUCAUAAUAUAAUAGAUAAAUUAGAUCUAGCUGGUCUGUCAUAAUAUAAUAGAGACAGUAGAUCUAGCUGGUCUGUCAUACUAUAAUUGUGACAGUAGGUCUAGCUGGUCUGUCAUAUA